AGCCAGCACAACGCAGUUCGCUCCGUUGUUUUGUUUACAGAAUGAAACACGCAGUGUCCUACACCAUAACGGAGCAUGCCUCAACUGCCCUAUCACGAAAACCGCAGCGAUAACAAUGAAGAUAUCGGCCGCCGUACACCAAUGCUAUGAGUCGAAACCAGCGCGUGUGCACUGAUUUCAGACUACGAAGUGGACAGGACGUUCCAUAUCUUCGCUGCGGUGAACUUGAAACUGCCACGGAAUGCAGCGGUAUGGUGGCGUGGUACUACCAUCGUCCAGUUCAACGUUCUGGUGAAGGAGGUUUUUACGUCGCGUGACCAUACCAACUUUUUAGCCAGAUAAGGCGGAACCUCGUAUUUGAUAACGCCAAACAACAAAGUUGCCAAAUGUAAAUCUCUCCGCGCUCUCAUCUUUAAAAUAUUUGCUUCGUUAAUAUAAGGAGUUACGUGCAUGCGUGGUGGUACAUUAAAGCAGAACCUUGCACAUGCAUUCUGCACUCGUUGAAUUUGCUUCUGCGUAUGCGCUAGUAGACGCGGCCCGUAA
Molecule: long non-coding RNA, 543 nt
Organism: Hyposmocoma kahamanoa
Lineage: Eukaryota; Metazoa; Arthropoda; Insecta; Lepidoptera; Cosmopterigidae
Exons: 3
Source: RefSeq, a predicted model, not a curated record